UUAUGUGGGAACAGGAUGUGUAUUCAACAGAACUGCUUUGUAUGGAUAUGAACCUCCUAUAAAGAGAAAACAAUAUACUGGUUUCUUAGCGUCAUUGUGUGGUGGAUCUCGGAAGAAGAGUUCGAAAUCAAACAAGAAGGGUUCCGACAAAAAGAAAUCAAGCAAGAAUGUGGACAAUACUGUACCGAUAUUCAAUCUAGAAGAUAUAGAAGAGGGCCUUGAAGGUACUGGAUUUGAUGAUGAGAAGUCUCUGCUCAUGUCCCAAAUGAGCCUAGAGAAACGAUUUGGCCAAUCAAAUGUUUUUGUUGCCUCCACGCUAAUGGAACAUGGUGGUGUCCCUCACUCAGCAACUCAUGAGUCUCUUCUGAAAGAAGCUAUACAUGUUAUCAGCUGUGGUUAUGAGGAUAAGACAGAUUGGGGAAAUGAGAUUGGAUGGAUUUAUG
RNAcentral lists this unclassified non-coding RNA (443 nucleotides) under Hevea brasiliensis (rubber tree). Lineage: Eukaryota; Viridiplantae; Streptophyta; Magnoliopsida; Malpighiales; Euphorbiaceae. The record is from RNAcentral.